AACAGUAUUGCAGCAUCUUCUUAUAGAUGUUUUUAUUUGUCCUGCUGAAUGUGCUCAGAUUGUAUUUUCAGUGGAUGUUCUGAUUUAUAUUAGCCUUAUAAGAAAAAAAAAUUGUAUUGUAUUAUUGCUUGUUCAAACCUCCACAGUGCCACCUAUUGGCAAAUGUCAUUUUUAUUUGAUCUAUUUCCAGCACUGAAAUUCAGAGAGAUGUUACGUAGUAUUCUAGUUUUUUGUAGGUCCAGUAAUGAUGUUGUCUUUCUAAAAAGGCAAUCAUUUUGCCAGAAAAUAUGGAUUGCUUCUUCCUUAGUAACUAGAUCUGCUAAAAUAUCUACUGUAUGCCUGCAGUAGGUUAGUACAGUAGGAUUUACAUGUUUCAGAAUAAACUGUAUAAUAAAAAUAAUGUUACUUGAAUGGGCAGUCAGUGUAAAUAAUAGUAAGAAUAUAUGGCAGAAAAACUAAUCCAUAAAAGUAUUCAGUAUUCAGUAUGUCACAUUGUUAACGCUUUAAUUUUUUUCAUUCUUUUCAUUCAUUUUUUUCAUUUUUUUCAUUCGGUUCUGUGCUGUCACAUUUCUACUACAAACUCGCCCAAAAACAAAAUUGUUCUAGGUAACAGGUUAAACAGUUUGUUAGAUUAUUUCACUUACCUGGUUUAAAACAUUAAAGCCCAAGUUUUAUGACCGCAGAAAACAAUUGCUUUUGCCUAAAUAUAGCCCUUACAAGGAAACCAUCUUUAUAGUAUCAUAUCAUAUUUAUUCAACUUGUGCAGACUUGUGUCUGAAAUUCUUUAUAAGCAUGAAUAUUCUUGCCUCCUGUAUUUUUUAUUAUCAUCAUUAUUAUUAUAAUUAUAUACAGUGGUGGGCCAAGCCGACUGUGCUCCCCUCCAUGCUCUCCUCCAUGCAGUGAACAUGGACUAGGGGUAGGCAAAAAGUCAGUCCCCCUUUCGUUGCUCCCUAGUCAGGUGCCUCUUCUGCCUAACCCUAGUUCUGGCCCUGAUUAUAUAAAUAAUACUCUAAAGGGGUGGAUCUUGCUAAACUUAAGUAAAUAAUUCAGUGUUCUUGAGAGUGAUUACUGAUGGACAGUAGACAAAAAUUCUCCAAACAUAUGUUUUUUUUCUUUUUUUUCAGGGAGGAAAGCAGAUACCUGUUGUGAAUCAAGUUGAAACGCCAAUACAUGAAGAGAAGAGAACACAGCUUUUAAAGUCAUUGAGAUACACCAGAGGAAUAGACACAGGGAUGCUAAAUAAAGCACAGUUCUUUUCAACUUGUUCGUCAGGUUGUGUUCAUUUAUCAUGUCAACUCCCAUGAUGCCUGCACCAAGGCCUUGUAGCCAUAUGUGUUAGCACACCUGCUAUGUGUGUGAGAUCUGCACUGUAGAAUGUUCAAGUACAUACACCAUUCCUGUGUUUCAUUAAAUUAUGUAACAACUGACA
Xenopus laevis (African clawed frog) is the source of this 1429-nucleotide long non-coding RNA. RefSeq lists it as uncharacterized. The record is from RefSeq and is a predicted model, not a curated record. Lineage: Eukaryota; Metazoa; Chordata; Amphibia; Anura; Pipidae. The transcript is spliced from 2 exons.